CACGUAGGGUCCGAGCGUUGUCCGGAAUUACUGGGCGUAAAGCGUGCGCAGGCGGUUGGGUCAGUCGCUGGUGAAAGCCCCACGCUCAACGUGGGAAUGGCCAACGAGACGGCCCGACUGGAGGCAGGGAGAGGCCGGUGGAAUUCCGGGUGUAGUGGUGAAAUGCGUAGAGAUCCGGAGGAACACCAGAGGCGAAGGCGGCCGGCUGGACGGAUACUGACGCUGAGGCGCGAAAGCCAGGGGAGCAAACGGG
RNAcentral lists this ribosomal RNA (253 nucleotides) under uncultured bacterium. RNAcentral describes it as "partial 16S ribosomal RNA". It matches the Rfam family "Bacterial small subunit ribosomal RNA", at positions 524 to 776 of the family's 1533-position model. The record is from RNAcentral.